This 178-nucleotide small nuclear RNA is filed under the name Otolemur garnettii (small-eared galago). RNAcentral's name for it is "U2 spliceosomal RNA". It matches the Rfam family "U2 spliceosomal RNA". From Rfam's summary of the family: U2 is a small nuclear RNA (snRNA) component of the spliceosome (involved in pre-mRNA splicing). Lineage: Eukaryota; Metazoa; Chordata; Mammalia; Primates; Galagidae. The record is from Rfam by way of RNAcentral.
AUCGCUUCUCGGCCUUUUGGCUAAGAUCAAGUGUACCCCAUACAUGCAUUAAUGUACACAGUUAUGAUUUAAUAAAAAAAAGAAAAUAUAUUUUUUAAAUUGUCAUCAGCACUGAACACGUACAUAGGUUAUUUGUUUUUGUCAUUAUUUCCUAAACAAUGCAGCAUAACAACUAUUU